RNAcentral lists this transfer RNA (62 nucleotides) under Crompus oculatus. RNAcentral describes it as "tRNA-Pro". Lineage: Eukaryota; Metazoa; Arthropoda; Insecta; Hemiptera; Lygaeidae. The record is from RNAcentral.
CAGUAAGUAGUUUAUUAAAAUAUUAAUUUUGGGGAUUAAAGAUGGGUUUAACUUUUUACUGA